RNAcentral lists this ribosomal RNA (660 nucleotides) under Atalodera sp. CD3139. RNAcentral's name for it is "partial large subunit ribosomal RNA". It matches the Rfam family "Eukaryotic large subunit ribosomal RNA", at positions 408 to 904 of the family's 3401-position model. The record is from RNAcentral. Lineage: Eukaryota; Metazoa; Nematoda; Chromadorea; Rhabditida; Heteroderidae.
AUGAGAUGGAAACGGACAGAGCUGGCGUAUCUGGCUUGCAUUCAUCCGUGGGCUUUCAGACGUCAUGGGACUGUUCUCCAGAUUGGGUCGGUCUUGUGUCUGUUCGGAGGCUUAUGGAGCAUUUGCAGGUGGAGUGCGCUGAGGUGCUCGGGACAGCUGUAUGAUCUCGGCCUUGAGGCCAGCCCUUCGGGGUCUGGUACCCGGGCCGGGGGAGUGUUGUUUGUUCUGGGUAUGAGUUGGUGCAAUGGUUUCGGGCUUGUGUAGGCUCCGAGCUGGCAGUCGGUGGCGGUCGCUUGCGACACGUACCAGCGGUUAGUUCGGUCCUGCUCGAGCUCACAUUGCUAAUUCUCAGUGUAAAAGCCGGUCAUCUGUCCGACCCGUCUUGAAACACGGACCAAGGAGUUUAGCGUGUGCGCGAGUCAUUGGGAGUUAAAAACCCAAGGGCGCAAUGAAAGUGAAGGUCUCCCUUGUGGAGCUGAUGUGUGAUCCUGAACACUACGGUGUUCGGGCGCAACAUAGUCCCGUCUCGAUCGCAUGCGAUGGGGCGGAGACAGAGCGUACGCGCUGAGACCCGAAAGAUGGUGAACUAUUCCUGAGCAGGAUGAAGCCAGAGGAAACUCUGGUGGAAGUCCGAAGCGAUUCUGACGUGCAAAUCGAUCG